UCGUAAAGCUCACAUGUGGCGGUGGGGCUCAGCGGCAUUUGGCAAAAAGAUUUAUCGUAACACUAGGUAUAUAGGGUUUUUUGUUUGUUUGUUCGUUUUUGUUUUUUAAUCUUUAAAAAAGGUGAGUGCAGGGAUCCAAACAUCCUUGUGCAGCAAUUGGUCCUGCACUGACUGUCAGCUCAGUCUGUACUUUGAAUGCUGUAGUGUGAUACUGUUUGUAGGUUAGAUAAGGGGAUCACUGCCGAGUCUUCAGGAUGGAAUUCAUGUCUUCAUAAGAAGAGACCACAGACCCACUGACCCUGGUCCCUGUUCCCAUUACAGUUUCUCUGUCCCAAAGGCUGCCUCUGCCUUUCGAGUGCUGGGAUUAAAGGCACCACUGCCCAGCGACUUCACCACUUCCAUAUCUGAAAAUUAAACAUCUUUUGUAGGCUAUCAAGUCUAUAGGAAUUUUAAUUUUAUCAAUGUGACAAAUAGACACUGAUGUUCAUAGUGGCAUUGUUUGUAGAAGUCAAAAGGAAGAGGCAAUCCCAGUGUCUGUCUACUGACAAAAUGUGGUAUGCAUUUAUAAUGAAAUAUUCCACUGGAAACAGGAGAGCAAUAUUAAUACAUGCUACAAUAUGGUCGGAAUUAGAAGGCAUUGUGCAAAGGAAAAUAAGCAAAUCACAAAGGACAAAGACUGCAUGCUUCUACUUGUGUGAGACUCUUUGAGUACUUACACAGAGAAGGAGGUUAUUAUAGAGCUGGGCAGAGUGGAGCCAGGAAUGAGACUUUCUCUGAAUACAGAGUUUCAACUGAGAAGGAUGAAGAAGUUCUUGGAGGUGGAUGGUGGUGUUGAUUGCAAAAUAAUACGAGUGCAUAAAAGCCAUAUAAUUAAUAGAAUCAAUUCUAUGUUUCCCAUAUUUUGUCAUAAUUAUGUAUUUGGGGUAAUAAUGCCUGGCUUAUGAUACAGUCUGUAGUCAAUAAGUAUAAUUGUUAAUAUUUUUAUUAAUCUUUUGGAAAUUUUAUUAAAGCUUUUUUAUGUGUGUGGGUGUUUUAAUUGCAUCUAUGUCUGUGCACCACUGGGUACCUGCUGCCUGCAGAGGUCCGAAGAAGGCACUGGGUUCUGUGGUACUGGAGUUACAGAUGAGUGUCAGCUGCCUUGUAGGUGCUAGGAAUUGAACCCAGGCCCUCUGGAAGAGCAGCUGAUGCUCUUAAUUGCUGAGCCAUCUCUCCACCCCUAUUGAUCUCAUAGUAUGUCCUACUGCUGCUAUUCUGAAAAAAAAAAGAAAAAACAUGGAAAGGUGUGAAUCACAGAAGAAAGGCCGAUCAUUUAGAAAGCUAUACAGUAAAGGGAUUUGAGUUUUUACUCUUAAGGCUGCAUAAGAAUUUUCACCAUAUGGAGAAGCACAACUGCGGUGUGUAAGCUGCUCUCUAUGGACAAGAGUGGAGAGAAUAGUUAAGAGGUGAUUACAGAGAUGUGUUGGAGACAUUCUAAGCAUGCAAGUUUAUCUACUUAGGUACUGCUCAGAAUGGCAGUGAUGUAGAGGACAUGAGCAUACUUUGGAAGACUGACUUGUAGAAAGUGAAUUUUAUCUUUAAAAAGAUCUCUGCCUGUAUGUGGGAUUUGCUGUGUAAAUCUGUUGUCUCUUAUCACCUACCUGGUUGCUUUGGAGAUUUUAAGAAAAUAAAACACCUUUUAUUUUUCUUUGACAGUUUUAUACAUGCAUCGUAUCACUCCCAGCUUCCCCUUUCAGCCCCUAGGCACGCCAACACCGCUGUCCUUUCCUACUCUAUCUUUUGAUCCUCAGUAAUUUCAUGAUUCAAAACACAGAUAUAAUGUCAAAAUGAAGGAAAUUUAAGUUCUAAAAUUUUCAUGGAUCAAGACUAGAAUUUUGUAUGCACUCUGGCUUUUCCAGCACAUGAAUAGAAUGUCUUUUAAGACAUAACUGAUGGUUUGCACAUUCAUAUGCAUAUACAUGGGUUGGCAUGUGCGCAACUCGCUGCAUAAGUAGAACAACUUUUAGGAUUAGUCUUAAACCUAUGGGUCCUGGGAGCAAACUCAGGUUGUCAGGCUUGCAAGCACAAGAGGUGCUUUAUCCUCAAAGCCAUCUUAUUGUCCCUUGACUGUUACAUUUAUCUCUAUGUAAGAUGCUCUUAGAAAUAUUUUGAAAGAAGAAUCACACCCCCACACACACACAUUUUCUUAAUUAAGAAUUGUUCUUUGUUGUUUUUCUUUGCCUCUCCCCUCCGCCUUCUCUUUUUUCCUUUCCGACCAGAAGGUGGCGCUCUAAGCUCAGGAUUCUGAUGUUCCCUUUUUGAAAUGAUGUUCACUUUUGAAAUCCCCCACCCAUAGGCACUUUCAGAAAAAAAAGUAUGUCUGUUUAAUAAUCCAUUUAGAUGCUCCUAAUGUCAUCGUUCGGAGUGUGUUCUGUUGGUAAUUGCUUAUGAACGGUUCUCCACAUGAUUGCUGAGGUGGUCAGUUUAUUAGCACUGCAACUAAGACAAGAUUAAUGUUGAAUUCUGUUGGUAAAUCUAUCCUUGAUUCACAUCGACUCAUUUUAGGUUACUAAUUUUUGUGACCUGUGUCAUUUCAUUUCAAAUUUCUUAUUGUGCGACCUCGUGCUAUUCACCAUUUCACUGUGAAAGUCUGUUUUACAUGUUAAACAUAAUAAAUAACUACUCAAAAGACUUAAGAAGGGAAGUGCAGAAAUCAAUAAUUCAUUUCAGAACAAUCCGGUGCUUUAUUCUGAAGUCAGAGGCAAGCUGUUUUCAUUGUAAUGUGAUUUUGCUUUGACUAGUCUUUGUUCAGUUAUAACAUAUUACUACUUUGGAAAUAAAGCAAUAUAAGUGUUGUCUUCUUUU
Cricetulus griseus (Chinese hamster) is the source of this 2841-nucleotide non-coding RNA. The record is from RefSeq and is a predicted model, not a curated record. Lineage: Eukaryota; Metazoa; Chordata; Mammalia; Rodentia; Cricetidae.